RNAcentral lists this ribosomal RNA (528 nucleotides) under Pezizomycotina sp. E6928a. RNAcentral describes it as "eukaryotic LSU rRNA". The stretch from base 183 to 336 matches the Rfam family "5.8S ribosomal RNA". The record is from RNAcentral. Lineage: Eukaryota; Fungi; Ascomycota.
ACCUGCGGAGGGAUCAUUACCGAGAUUACACUCUCUAAACCCCUAAGAAUAUACUCUUCUAUGUUGCUUCGGCGGCAUGGGUCCCCCGUUGCGGGGGGUCCAGCAGCCCGCGAGGGCGCCGCCGGGGGGCACACAACCUCUAUUUUUAACGGUCUCUCUGAGUACUGUACUUAAUAAGUCAAAACUUUCAACAACGGAUCUCUUGGCUCUAGCAUCGAUGAAGAACGCAGCGAAAUGCGAUAAGUAAUGUGAAUUGCAGAAUUCAGUGAAUCAUCGAAUCUUUGAACGCACAUUGCGCCCGCCAGUAUUCUGGCGGGCAUGCCUGUUCGAGCGUCAUUUCAACCCUCAAGCCCGGCUUGGUGUUGGGGCCCUACGGCUGCCGUAGGCCCUGAAAGGCAUCGGCGGGCUCGCCGCGACUCCGAGCGUAGUAAUUCUUCGCCGCUUAGGACGUCGGGCGGGUUCCGGCCGCUAAACAACCCCUCUUUACAGAAGGUUGACCUCGAAUCAGGUAGGAAUACCCGCUGAACU